AACGAACGCUGGCGGCAUGCCUAACACAUGCAAGUCGAACGAGACCUUCGGGUCUAGUGGCGCACGGGUGCGUAACGCGUGGGAACCUGCCUUUAGGUUCGGAAUAACUCAGAGAAAUUUGAGCUAAUACCGGAUGAUGUCUUCGGACCAAAGAUUUAUCGCCUUUAGAUGGGCCCGCGUUGGAUUAGCUAGUUGGUGGGGUAAAGGCCUACCAAGGCGACGAUCCAUAGCUGGUCUGAGAGGAUGAUCAGCCACACUGGGACUGAGACACGGCCCAGACUCCUACGGGAGGCAGCAGUGGGGAAUAUUGGACAAUGGGCGAAAGCCUGAUCCAACAAUGCCGCGUGAGUGAUGAAGGCCUUAGGGUUGUAAAGCUCUUUUACCCGAGAUGAUAAUGACAGUAUCGGGAGAAUAAGCUCCGGCUAACUCCGUG
This 433-nucleotide ribosomal RNA is filed under the name uncultured bacterium. Its description in RNAcentral is "partial 16S ribosomal RNA". It matches the Rfam family "Bacterial small subunit ribosomal RNA", at positions 29 to 507 of the family's 1533-position model. The record is from RNAcentral.